Molecule: long non-coding RNA, 1507 nt
Filed under: Zostera marina
Lineage: Eukaryota; Viridiplantae; Streptophyta; Magnoliopsida; Alismatales; Zosteraceae
Description: long non-coding RNA (ZMAR_LNC006136)
Source: RNAcentral
UUCCGUUGGUUUCCAUUCCAUGAUCGGUCCUCCGUUGGUUUCCCUUCCAUGUUUGUAUGGGUUUUUCAGUCUUCUUUCCAUGAACGACCAAUCGACAUUAUCGGUCUUCUUUCCGUUGAUCUUGUCCUCCGUUCUUCUGUUUUCUUUCUGUUGUUCAGGGUUGAUGUGUUCGUCGGCUUUUCAGUCUUGGUUUAUCUUGAUCUUCGGUUGGUCGUUCUGGGGUUGUUUUGGGUUGAUGUUGUGGGUUUGUUUCGGUUUAUCUAUUGUUUUGGUUUAUCGUUCUGUGUUCGUUUUGGUUGAUGUUGUGAGUGUUACGUUGCCGUAACCGCGAGUUGAGAGGAUUGGAAAUUGGGUUGAAAUUCGAUAAUCCCCAACAGGGAUCCCGCCUUGUAUUUAAACUAACUAUCCGCCAAUGUCUGAGUGACACGUCGUUAUUCAUCCACGACUAACUAACUAAUUGCUAAUUACAUCUUUUAUUUAAUAGUAAACAUAAUUCUGAUCCUUCGUCGAUUGCGGGAUUCUGUUAGAACGCUGCUGGGCACGAUCCCCCUGUUCCACUAACUCCAGAUCCUUCUGCAAUCGUUCCACCACGGAAUCUAGCUCUAACUGGACUGUUACAGUGAGUUUGUUUCCGUCGAUCUUUAUUUUCGUUGUUUUGGGUUUGUUCCAUUGAUCUGUUUUUUUCCGUCGAUCUGGUUUUUUUUUGUUUUGGGUUUGUUCCGUUGAUCUGGUUUUCUUUUUGCUUCUCAGUUCUUACUACACAGUCUUAAGUGGUAAUUACUCAACGUUUAGUCAAUGUCGGUUGAUUGUCCAUUUGAUGGUUCCAGUUCAUCUUCUGCCCAUUUAAUAGUUCCAGUUGAUCGUCCACUGGCAAUUUCUUCAUCUGGAGUACUCUAACGAUCGGUCGAAUUCAUAGUUCUUUACCAUAGUUUGAUUUGCAUUGAAAGUCAAGGAUUUCUGCUUUUUUGCUAUUGAGUUCAGUAAAAUGGAAGGUAAACAGAUUUAUAUUUAUUUACUAGUUAUUUCAAGGUUUGGCGACUAGUUGAUUGGCGACUAGUUCUAUUUCUGUUUAUUCAGCCACUAAUUUGGUCGUCGAAAUUUUUUGAUAUACUAACAGUUUAUUCGGAAAAUGGUAUGGGUAUAUGGUUUUCUUCUUGCUGCUCAGUUCUUGCUACAAUCUUUUCAUUGGUUCCAGUUCAUCGUCUGCCCCAUUUUAUCGUUACAGUUAAUCGUCUAUCAGCAAUUUCUUCAUUAACCAGUUAAUCGUCGAUAAGCAAUUUCUUCAUCUGAAGUUCGUUAUAGAAAUCAGACUAAAGGACGAAUGUUCAAUCGAAUCCGGAGUUCUUUAAGGAAGUAUAAUUGGCAUCGGAAUUUAAGGAUUGCAGUUAGUGCAGUCACUGUUCGGCGACUAUUUCUGAUGUUUUUAAUUUGACCACUUUUUUGUUCGAAAACUAUUUCUAUUUCUGUUUAAUCGUUUUGUAAGUUACUGAUAGAGUUUUGAUAUAGG